This 69-nucleotide transfer RNA is filed under the name Retropinna retropinna (cucumberfish). Its description in RNAcentral is "tRNA-Ser". Lineage: Eukaryota; Metazoa; Chordata; Actinopteri; Osmeriformes; Retropinnidae. The record is from RNAcentral.
GAGAGAAGCCCGAUGGCAGUGAGGACUGCUAAUCCUUUACCCCCACGGUUGAACCCCGUGGUUCACUCG